Molecule: small RNA, 195 nt
Filed under: Arabidopsis thaliana (thale cress)
Lineage: Eukaryota; Viridiplantae; Streptophyta; Magnoliopsida; Brassicales; Brassicaceae
Description: ATSL046990
Source: RNAcentral
AAAGUUAUAGGCUUGGUGCUUUUUUCUUAGUUUUUGGUUUCGACCUCUUGCGUUUGUGGUUUGAAGUAUUAUGUUUUGUUUUAUUACUAUGUUUAGUUUCACUUUUUUAGAGCCAAUUUCCGAGGAAAUUUUGUUUUCUGUCGGCUUUGACUCUGGAGACUUUUAUGUCGUCCGCUGGCUUUAAUUUCCCUUAUU